GAUGAACGCUGGCUACAGGCUUAACACAUGCAAGUCGAGGGGAAACGGCAUUGAGUGCCUGCACUGAAUGGACGUCGACCGGCGCACGGGUGAGUAACGCGUAUCCAACCUUCCCGUUACUGCGGGAUAACCUGCCGAAAGGCAGACUAAUACCGCAUGUUCUUCGAUGACGGCAUCAGAUUCGAAGCAAAGAUCCGUCGGUAACGGAGGGGGAUGCGUCUGAUUAGCUAGUUGGCGGGGCGACGGCCCACCAAGGCGACGAUCAGUAGGGGUUCUGAGAGGAAGGUCCCCCACAUUGGAACUGAGACACGGUCCAAACUCCUACGGGAGGCAGCAGUGAGGAAUAUUGGUCAAUGGGCGGAAGCCUGAACCAGCCAAGUAGCGUGCAGGAUGACGGCCCUACGGGUUGUAAACUGCUUUUAUGCGGGGAUAAAGUGGGGGACGC
This 445-nucleotide ribosomal RNA is filed under the name Prevotella sp. oral taxon G57. Its description in RNAcentral is "bacterial SSU rRNA". It matches the Rfam family "Bacterial small subunit ribosomal RNA", at positions 28 to 461 of the family's 1533-position model. The record is from RNAcentral. Lineage: Bacteria; Pseudomonadati; Bacteroidota; Bacteroidia; Bacteroidales; Prevotellaceae.